GUCGGAGUGGCGCAAGGGUGCUUAACACGUGGGCAAUCUGCCGUGAAGCCUGGAAUAACUCGCUGAAAGGCGAGCUAAUGCCGGAUGUGAAAAUCGGGAGGCAUCUUUUGAUUUUCAAAGCUGGGGACCGCAAGGCCUGGCACUUCACGAUGAGCCCGCGGCCUAUCAGCUAGUUGGCGAGGUAACGGCUCACCAAGGCUUAGACGGGUAGCUGGUCUGAGAGGACGACCAGCCACACUGGAACUGAGACACGGUCCAGACACCUACGGGUGGCAGCAGUCGAGAAUUUUUCUCAAUGGGCGAAAGCCUGAAGGAGCGACGCCGCGCGGGGGAUGAAUGGCUUCGGCCCGUAAACCCCUGUCAUUUGCGAACAAAUUGGUUCAAUUAACACCUGAACCAUUGAUAGUAGCGGAAGAGGAAGGGACGGCUAACUCUGUGCCAGCAGCCGCGGUAAUACAGAGGUCCCAAGCGUUGUUCGGAUUCACUGGGCGUAAAGGGUGCGUAGGCGGUCGGGUAGGUCUGAUGUGAAAUCCCGCAGCUCAACUGCGGAACGGCAUUGGAUACUAUUCGGCUCGAGGAGUGGAGGGGAGACUGGAAUUCUCGGUGUAGCAGUGAAAUGCGUAGAUAUCGAGAGGAACACCUGUGGCGAAGGCGAGUCUCUGGACACUUCCUGACGCUGAGGCACGAAAGCCAGGGGAGCAAACGGGAUUAGAUACCCCGGUAGUCCUGGCCCUAAACGGUGCGCAUUUGCUGUGAGCGGAAUCGACCCCGCUCGUGGCGAGGCUAACGCGUUAAAUGCGCCGCCUGGAAGUACGGGCGCAAGGUUAAAACUCAAAGAGAUUGACGGGGGCUGCACAAGCGGUGAGUAUGUGCUCAUUUCGAUGCAACGCGAAGAAC
This 897-nucleotide ribosomal RNA is filed under the name uncultured bacterium. RNAcentral describes it as "bacterial SSU rRNA". It matches the Rfam family "Bacterial small subunit ribosomal RNA", at positions 89 to 969 of the family's 1533-position model. The record is from RNAcentral.